This 22-nucleotide microRNA is filed under the name Schmidtea mediterranea. RNAcentral's name for it is "sme-lin-4-5p". Its record names the gene sme-lin-4-5p. Lineage: Eukaryota; Metazoa; Platyhelminthes; Tricladida; Dugesiidae. The record is from miRBase by way of RNAcentral.
UCCCUGAGACCUUCGACUGUGU